Molecule: unclassified non-coding RNA, 339 nt
Filed under: soil metagenome
Description: partial contains 5.8S ribosomal RNA, internal transcribed spacer 2, and large subunit ribosomal RNA
Rfam family: 5.8S ribosomal RNA (bases 1-120)
Source: RNAcentral
GAUGAAGAACGUAGCGAAAUGCGAUAAGUAGUGUGAAUUGCAGAAUUCAGUGAAUCAUCGAAUCUUUGAACGCACAUUGCGCCCCUCGGUAUUCCGUGGGGCAUGCCUGUUCGAGCGUCAUUUAACCCCUCAAGCCUAGCUUGGUAUUGGGUGCUUGUCCCGCCUCUCGCGCGGCGACUCACCUCAAAGUCAUUGGCAGCCCGCAUCUCGCCGGCCGUGAGCGCAGCACAGACGCGCUCUUGGCAACGACGGAUCGGCUCUCCAAAAGCUUAUUUCAACCACUGGCCUCGGAUCAGGUAGGGAUACCCGCUGAACUUAAGCAUAUCAAUAAGCGGAGGA